Chinchilla lanigera (long-tailed chinchilla) is the source of this 641-nucleotide long non-coding RNA. RefSeq lists it as uncharacterized. The transcript is spliced from 2 exons. Lineage: Eukaryota; Metazoa; Chordata; Mammalia; Rodentia; Chinchillidae. The record is from RefSeq and is a predicted model, not a curated record.
UUCUCCACCCUUUGUCUCAUCGCCACUCGUGUCUCGUCUCUCUCCAUCACUCGUCACAUUCUCGACCUCUCUGCUCAUCUCUUCUGCUCUCUGGUAUUUGGAUCUUUCUCUUCAGCUGGAGUCUCUGCACAACCAAAUUGUGCCCGAUGUAUCAGCGAGGCAUUCAGCAUCCUGGACCAGCCACAAUCUAAUAACCCACUUGGCAGUCACGUACAGGUGCUGGGCAACGGGAAGCACGCUAACAGCAGCCCGGAUAACAGCAGCCCGGAUAACAGCAUCCCGGAUAACAGCAUCCCUCUCAAGCAAGAGGAUUCUCCGAGGAAGGCCAGAGGCAGCAGAGAGAAGAUAAAAAAGAAGAAGAAGGAAAAAACCCAACAACUUGCAACACAUCCGCAUCCCUGUCUGCGGCUGUGGCGCCUGCCUCGGCUGCUGCUUGGAUGCGUCUAAGAUGGCACCUUGGUGCCCUGCCACAUUCUGUCUCCUUGGUACCGAAGCGGCGCUCAGCUUCUUGUCACUGAGUGGAUGAUGAUUAUCUGCACCAGGGUCUCAAGGGUGCUCCAGCUUUGCUGGCGAUUGGAGCUGAGAUGCUUCAGCUGAAGGAUUUUAAAAGCUAUACAAGGCCAAAGAACCAUUACCAGUCA